Cercocebus atys (sooty mangabey) is the source of this 1286-nucleotide long non-coding RNA. RefSeq lists it as uncharacterized. The transcript has 3 exons. The record is from RefSeq and is a predicted model, not a curated record. Lineage: Eukaryota; Metazoa; Chordata; Mammalia; Primates; Cercopithecidae.
UAAUUAAAUCUACAUUUAAUUUUCUCAGUGCCACAGGCACUCAGAUGGAGCUGAAACCUUGCAUUGAAUUAGGAAGAGAAGAAAAAUCACUGGUGGGUCUAGAGCCUGCAGACAUGGUUUGCUGCUGGGACACUGCAUGGAGGCAGCUGUGCUUUUCCCCACUGUCUCUCAUGCUUCCUCGGACAGCAGCUUUCGGUAGCAGUCUUCUCUGUGCCAGGCCUUGCUAGUGGUGAAGAACAAAGAGUCAAAGAAGAGCUAGCCGUGCAUCGGUUCAAACGGCCACCUCCUUCCUCCACUGGACUAAGCAUUCCUUGCUCCACAGCGAGUUCUCAGCACCUGGGAGUUAGAACAUAGUAGGUGCUCAAUAAAUAUUGUCGCAUACAUGUUGGAUAAACUAAACACCUGUCUUCAAAAGGCUUUGGGAAGAUUGAGGAAACAGAAGUGAACCAGUAACUGCAGUUCACCCAGCACAAGUGUUAGGAUGGAGCCAGCCACAUGGAAGGACAGUGCCUCAGCCUGGGCCCAUGAAGUGCAUCUGCUGGGUGAAGAGAGAACCUCUGCAGCCACAUCCUCAGCUUAUCUUUUAUGCAUAGUGACCACACCCACUUGCAAAUAUGUCCUGAAGUCUGGCCAACCAGAUGAGUGCUCUUCUUCCUUGGGUCAGAAUGAAAGGUGGGGUGAGGGAGUCUUGAGAUCUUCUCAUCUUGCCUUUGAAGUCCCCCAAUACCCAGCAGAGUGCUGAAGCCAGAGUAAGAGCAACAGGGAAUUGUUGAAUUAAUUUGAAACCAAUACUGCUACCAUGGGACUGGGUCUGCCCCUCACCUCAGAAACCAGGACCUGGAACUUCUAAACAGGGUGAGAAUUGACAUCAGAGUGUUGUCCACUUGGCUGCUAGGCGUCUCAUCCCUCUGCCUGCCUCUGUGCGACUGCACUUAGACAGUUGAGCUCAGUAAAAUCCAACAACCCACGCCGCUUGGGGGACUCAGAAGAGAUGUCUGUCAAAGCUCCCUCCCAGAGAUUCUGGCACUCUGGAGGACCACAGAGGAAAUAGAUAUUGCAUGGUACCAUGUGAUGCAAGGAGGAAGAAAAGCCUGAGAAACAGAACCAACUGGGACAAAAAUACACAGAAAUACACAGGCUGUGAUGGUGUAUGCGCCCCUCUCUACUUAGGAAGGAAGAUAGUAAGAGAGGGAAGGAAGACAGUAAGAGAGGGGAGGGAAAAGGAGGGGGCUGCUAGGAUCCGCACAGGACCCUGCAUGUCAAAAAGGACUUUUAGGGCCGGGCGC